UAAUAAUGAAGCCUUCGGUAUGAUCAGUUUAGUUCCUGAUGAGGACCCACUGAAAGAGUCCGGAUCUGUGUUACUUGCUGGGUCUGAUCAACUGAGCAGAGAAGAGUCUCAAACUGAGAAUUCUUCUGUAUGCCACGUGUACUCCACCAUCCCUGAGGAGCCGGAUGAAAGAUCUUUGAGGAAGGCAAAUGUGGCAUACAGCACUCUACACCUACACUGAAACAAAUUAAAAAGUACUGUAUUGGCAAAGAACAGAAGAUAAGACUAAAUGGCCAUUACACACUCAAGCAAUAUCCAUAAGGCAGGAAGAUAUUUUUCUUCCUUUUCUUUUUCUUUUUUGUAAGAGUCUCACCUGGAUAAUGUCACGAUUCGGCUGUGUGCAGCCAGGAAGAGGACCCAAAAUGCAGGAGUCGCAACACAUGGGAAUGAACUCAGGAAAAUGCAGCUUUAUUAACAGACUCAGGGAAAUGAUGCAAAACUAAACUAGACUAGGAAAACAAAACCUAA
This is a long non-coding RNA of Oreochromis aureus, 507 nucleotides long. RefSeq lists it as uncharacterized. Lineage: Eukaryota; Metazoa; Chordata; Actinopteri; Cichliformes; Cichlidae. The transcript has 3 exons. The record is from RefSeq and is a predicted model, not a curated record.